UUUAAGAGUAGGUGAUCAGCACCAGCACAGAUGAGCCUCAGUAAAGAUUUUAGGUGAAUCGGACCUGUGAGAAAAUGCCAAGCAGCCUCCACGCUUUAGUGGUGAUUCUGGGGGUAUGGGUAAUAUCAGGUGAGUAAAUGUUUGGCAGGAAUAAAAAAAUAUCUUUAUUGUUGAUGUGAUUUGGUGGUUUAAUAUCCUUUCCAUGGUUUCUUAGUGCUAGGUAUAAUUCUUAAUAUAGACCUGUUGUGUAUACACUAAACAUGUUGCCUCGUCUCAAUCUUUUGAGACACUCCUAUCUCUAAACCCAUACAAAUGCUGCAUGUCAGAUCCAUCCCAUUGCGUGUCAGAUUCAUCCCAUACCUUAAUCCCUUUCAGGUGCAUUCUCUGAAGUCUCCAUCAUUGGACUGCCAGCAACGACAAUGUUGCCUGAGAAUAGCCCAGCAGGCACAGAGGUCUUCAGCUUUCAGGUGUCCUUCUCUGCUGGAGAGAGCAUGGCAGCGGGUUUCCCAAGACUGCUGAACUUUAACCCUCUCACAGAUGCUUUCGCUGUGUCUAUGGAGAAUGCCACUCAUGCCAAGGUGGGUAUAUUUUCACUUUUACUGUGUUACAAUUUUUUUUUUUUAUGUUGGCCCUGUCAAUUUUUCAUGCCUCGUGUUUUGUAAAACAUUAAUUUGCUAUUACCUUAAUGUACUAUUAUUUUAUAGGCUAUGUAAGAAAUUAUUGAAUUGAUGAAAUAUUUGUUUAAAACAAUAUUCAAAACAUUCAGCAUAUUGCACAUACUUGCAGAUAUUCACAGAUAUGGUCAUUUGUCGAUUUUAGGUCUUAGUGACUGGUUCCCCUGACUUGGAUUUUGAGACUGUUCCAAAUCGCUUCAUUUUCCAAAUCCUUGCUGUGGGCUCUGAUGGAAACGGUGACAGUGAAACACUAACAGUGCUCCUCACAGAUGUAGACGAACCUCCACUUUUCUUGGAUGAAGCAUCAGUCCUUUAUAUCCUUGAGAAGACACCCCCAGGACAGAUUUAUGAACCAAGUGUUUCUGAUCCAGAGAACAAACCUCUCUCUUUUAUGCUCAUUCCUGUGAACCCCACAUUCAGUGUAGAUGGAAGUAAAGGCACAGUUUUUACCACAAAGGAGUUAA
Molecule: long non-coding RNA, 1138 nt
Organism: Clupea harengus (Atlantic herring)
Lineage: Eukaryota; Metazoa; Chordata; Actinopteri; Clupeiformes; Clupeidae
Exons: 3
Source: RefSeq, a predicted model, not a curated record